RNAcentral lists this ribosomal RNA (503 nucleotides) under uncultured bacterium. RNAcentral's name for it is "partial 16S ribosomal RNA". It matches the Rfam family "Bacterial small subunit ribosomal RNA", at positions 30 to 523 of the family's 1533-position model. The record is from RNAcentral.
AUUGAACGCUGGCGGCAGGCUUAACACAUGCAAGUCGAGCGGGGUGAUGGUGCUUGCACUAUCACUUAGCGGCGGACGGGUGAGUAAUGCUUAGGAAUCUGCCUAUUAGUGGGGGACAACAUCCCGAAAGGGAUGCUAAUACCGCAUACGUCCUACGGGAGAAAGCAGGGGAUCACUUGUGACCUUGCGCUAAUAGAUGAGCCUAAGUCGGAUUAGCUAGUUGGUGGGGUAAAGGCCUACAAAGGCGACGAUCUGUAGCGGGUCUGAGAGGAUGAUCCGCCACACUGGGACUGAGACACGGCCCAGACUCCUACGGGAGGCAGCAGUGGGGAAUAUUGGACAAUGGGGGGAACCCUGAUCCAGCCAUGCCGCGUGUGUGAAGAAGGCCUUAUGGUUGUGAAGCACUUUAAGCGAGGAGGAGGCUCUUUUGGUUAAUACCCAAGAUGAGUGGACGUUACUCGCAGAAUAAGCACCGGCUAACUCUGUGCCAGCCGCCGCCGUAA